GUACACGCUGUGACUAGCAUAUCAAUAAGCGGAGGAAAAGAAACUAACAAGGAUUCCCUUAGUAACGGCGAGUGAAGCGGGAAGAGCUCAAAUUUGAAAUCUUAAAGGGUUUCCCUUUACGAAUUGUAGUUUAAAGAAGUGUUUUCUGUUGAAGUUUUGGUAAAAGUUCUUUGGAAUAGGACAUCAUAGAGGGUGAGAAUCCCGUAUUUGACCAUUAUUUUCAGCUGUGUGAUACACUUUCAAAGAGUCGGAUUGUUUGGGAAUGCAGUCCAAAAUGGGUGGUAAAUUUCAUCUAAAGCUAAAUAUUGGCGAGAGACCGAUAGCGAACAAGUACCGUGAGGGAAAGAUGAAAAGAACUUUGAAAAGAGAGUUAAACAGUACGUGAAAUUGUCAAAAGGGAAGCGUUUGACACCAGUGUUGUUUUUCUGAAAAUCAAUUAAAGAACUGUUUAUGCUAAGUUGUUUAGACUUUAUCAGCUCACUGUUAGUUUUGAGCUUUCUUUAAUGCACUUUUCAGUUAACAAGUCAACAUCAAUUUCUUUUGCUGUAAAAAGGCUUGAGGAAGGUGGCUUGAGAUUCGUCUUAAGUGUUUAUAGCCUCUUGCCUAUGCAGUCGGAGAGAUUGAGGUCUGCAGCGUAGAUCCUUCGGGGCUAAAUGCAUUUGUGCUAAGUUAUAGCAUUUUAUAGACAACUUGUUGACUAUGAUUUAGUCUUGUAGCUUACUCGCUUAUGCUAUUUUACCUACGCUUAGGAUGUUGACGCAUGAGAUAUACGC
Molecule: ribosomal RNA, 773 nt
Filed under: uncultured Neocallimastigales
Lineage: Eukaryota; Fungi; Neocallimastigomycota; Neocallimastigomycetes; Neocallimastigales
Description: partial large subunit ribosomal RNA
Rfam family: Eukaryotic large subunit ribosomal RNA
Source: RNAcentral